UCUAAAGCUAAAUACUGGCCAGAGACCGAUAGCGCACAAGUAGAGUGAUCGAAAGAUGAAAAGCACUUUGGAAAGAGAGUCAAAUAGCACGUGAAAUUGUUGAAAGGGAAGCGCUUGCAGCCAGACUUGCCCGUUGUCGCUCAUCCAGGCUUUUGCCUGGAGCACUCGGCGGCGGGCAGGCCAGCAUCAGUUUGGGCGGCCGGAUAAAGACCUCUGUCAAGUAUCUUCCUUCGGGAUGACCUUAUAGGGGAGGUGUAACACGGCCAGUCCGGACUGAGGUCCGCGCAUCUGCUAGGAUGCUGGCGUAAUGGCUGUAAGCGGCCCGUCUUGAAACACGGACCAAGGAGUCUAACAUCUAUGCGAGUGUUUGGGUGUCAAGCCCGGGCGCGCAAUGAAAGUGAACGGAGGUGGGAACCCUCUUCGGGGGUGCACCAUCGACCGAUCCUGAAGUCUUCGGAUGGAUUUGAGUAAGAGCAUAGCUGUUGGGACCCGAAAGAUGGUGAACUAUGCUUGAAUAGGGUGAAGCCAGAGGAAACUCUGGUAGGGGCUCGCAGCGGUUCUGACGUGCAAAUCGAUCGUCAAAUUUGGGCAUAGGGGCGAAAGACUAAUCGAAC
This 614-nucleotide ribosomal RNA is filed under the name Massaria sp. C1b_PD013. Its description in RNAcentral is "eukaryotic LSU rRNA". It matches the Rfam family "Eukaryotic large subunit ribosomal RNA", at positions 309 to 940 of the family's 3401-position model. Lineage: Eukaryota; Fungi; Ascomycota; Dothideomycetes; Pleosporales; Massariaceae. The record is from RNAcentral.